CCUACGGGGCGCACCAGUGGGGAAUAUUGGACAAUGGGCGAAAGCCUGAUCCAGCAAUGCCGCGUGUGUGAAGAAGGCCUUCGGGUUGUAAAGCACUUUCACCGGUGAAGAUAAUGACGGUAACCGGAGAAGAAGCCCCGGCUAACUUCGUGCCAGCAGCCGCGGUAAUACGAAGGGGGCUAGCGUUGCUCCGAAUUACUGGGCGUAAAGCGCGCGUAGGCGGAUAGAUAAGUCAGAGGUGAAAUCCCGGGGCACAACCCCGGAAUUGCCUUUGAUACUGUUUAUCUUGAGUGCAGAAGAGGUAAGUGGAAUUCCGAGUGUAGAGGUGAAAUUCGUAGAUAUUCGGAGGAACACCAGUGGCGAAGGCGGCUUACUGGUCUGCAACUGACGCUGAGGCGCGAAAGCGUGGGGAGCAAACAGGAUUAGAUACCCGUGUAGUC
RNAcentral lists this ribosomal RNA (440 nucleotides) under uncultured bacterium. RNAcentral describes it as "bacterial SSU rRNA". It matches the Rfam family "Bacterial small subunit ribosomal RNA", at positions 338 to 795 of the family's 1533-position model. The record is from RNAcentral.